GUAGGUGAACCUGCGGAAGGAUCAUUAACACGUAUCCACGUAUCAAAACCCCUCUGUGCAAAACAUCUUUGUAAAACAGGCUUUGAUUGGAGUUGUGCUCGCUCGAUCUUAAUGAUGGGAGUUUCCCCCCCCUCGCAAGAGGGGGAAGAACCUCGGGAUCUAUGAGCGGGUUCAGCGUUCGACAGUCGGCCGCCAUUUUCCCAUCGUUAGCCUUUUUUUAUUUUAAACCCCUUUGUACUUUUUAUGUACU
Molecule: unclassified non-coding RNA, 250 nt
Filed under: plant metagenome
Description: partial contains small subunit ribosomal RNA, internal transcribed spacer 1, and 5.8S ribosomal RNA
Source: RNAcentral